CUUCGGAUCGGAAACGACCGGCAAAUGGGUGAGUAAUACAUAUGCAACCUGCCCGUAGCUGGAGAAUAGGUUCCGGAAACGGAAAUUAAUACUCCAUAAUAUUCUAGUAUCGCAUGUUAUUAGAAUUAAAGCUUCGGUGGCUACGGAUGGGCAUAUGUCCCAUUAGCUUGUUGGUGAGGUAACUGCUCACCAAGGCUACGAUGGGUAGGGGGUCUGAGAGGAUGAUCCCCCACACUGGUACUGAGACACGGACCAGACUCCUACGGGAGGCAGCAGUGAGGAAUAUUGGUCAAUGGGCGAAAGCCUGAACCAGCCAUGCCGCGUGCAGGAUGACAGUCCUACGGAUUGUAAACUGCUUUUCUGCAAGAAGAAAUGUUCCGACGUGUCGGGAUUUGACGGUAUUGCAGGAAUAAGCAUCGGCUAACUCCGUGCCAGCAGCCGCGGUAAUACGGAGGAUGCAAGCGUUAUCCGGAUUCAUUGGGUUUAAAGGGUGCGUAGGCGGAUUAGAUAGUCAAAGGUGAAAGCCUGCAGCUUAACUGUAGAAGUGCCUUUGAUACUGCUAAUCUUGAGUACAGUUGAGGCGAGUGGAAUGUGUAGUGUAGCGGUGAAAUGCAUAGAUACUACACAGAACACCAAUUGCGAAGGCAGCUCGCUAAGCU
Molecule: ribosomal RNA, 659 nt
Filed under: uncultured organism
Description: bacterial SSU rRNA
Rfam family: Bacterial small subunit ribosomal RNA
Source: RNAcentral